CCUACGGGAGGCAGCAGUGGGGAAUAUUGGGCAAUGGAGGCAAGUCUGACCCAGCAACGCCGCGUGAAGGAUGAAGGUCUUCGGAUUGUAAAACUCUUUAAGUGGGGACGAAGAAAGUGACUGUACCCGCAGAAUAAGCCUCGGCUAACUACGUGCCAGCAGCCGCGGUAAUACGUAGGCGGCAAGCGUUAUCCGGAAUGACUGGGGGUAAAGGGUGCGUAGGUGGUUUGACAAGUUAGUAGCGUAAUUCCGGGGCUCAACUUUGGAAUUACUACUAAAACUGUUAGGCUUGAGUGCAGGAGAGGGGAAUGGAAUGCGUAGUGUAGCGGUGGAAUGCGUAGAUAUUAGGAGGAACACCAGCGGCGAAGGCGAUUCACUGGACUGUAACUGACACUGAGGCACGAAAGCGUGGGGAGCAAACAGGAUUAGAUACCCUGGUAGUC
This 443-nucleotide ribosomal RNA is filed under the name uncultured bacterium. RNAcentral's name for it is "partial 16S ribosomal RNA". It matches the Rfam family "Bacterial small subunit ribosomal RNA", at positions 338 to 795 of the family's 1533-position model. The record is from RNAcentral.